UGUGACUGCAUAUAAAAGCAGAUGACUAGUAGUGAUCUGUAACAAAGACAACAGGAGGAGAGAGCAGAAAUGCAAGAGGCCAGACUCAUCUUCGGUGAGCUACACAGUGACCUGAAGCAAACUCCAACACAGAGUAAUACCUGAUGCCAGAAAUUAAACUAACACUGAGGAUAACCCAUACAUACAGCGCCAGUUUGAAUGGGGCAGGAGGCACUGGCUUGGAAUCAUUCCAGAAACCUUUCUCAAGCAGCUGAAUAUUCGUCUUCAUUAGGGCAUCAUCACCCCACCACACUCCAGUGCUGAUUCCUGUUAACACAGAGCGAAUGUGCAAAACGGGUGUUGGGGGAGGCCACAUGACGGGGAUGAGGCGAGGAGAAAGGUGGAAUACUGAACGAAUGACAGAGUUUGGGAGGACAGGACAAGCUUCAACGAGAUUAUGAAGGACGCACUGAUCUCAUUGCUCAUCUGCUCCAGCAACGUGCCCCUCGUACUGAUACAGAGAGACAUGAAGUGCUGAAGAAAUCAAGGACAUUAGCAAAGGAAGUGUCUUUGAUCCGUUUUAUCUUUUAUUCCCCCAGUGUUUGGCUCCUAGACGAUUAAUGAAUGGGCUAAUCAUUUAAAGGAUUUCUGGACACAGAUUAAUUGUACACCUUCACAAUAAAAGCAAAGACAAACAGCCGGGACCCAGAAUUGUCCGUUUUGUGGAGAAUGCCCAGCUCUUGGUCUCUGAAAACCUUCAAGUGCUUCCAAAUCAUCUUUCAAAAUUCAGCUGGACCUGUCUUCCACCUGAGCUGUGCUCUACAUGACCUCGUCUAUCCUCUCUGCACUGGACAUCACAGACACUGCACUUGCUGGUAUGACUUCCUUACUGGUAGAUGUAACUGGAAUAAGUGGCAUCUGCUAACCAUUGGGGGGAAAAAAAAAAAAUAGUUGUUAAGAAUUGCACUCCUGCUUCACUCAGUAGAUCCAGACUCACUUGGCCUGAUUGCAAACCAGUAUCUGACAACCAGUGUUGGCCAAUAACAUGUUAAUAGUAAUGUGUUACUGUAACAGCAUUACUUUUGACACUAAAUAAUACUGUAGCACAUUACUUUUUUAAAUAUAGUAACUACGUUAUUCUUACAAUAUGAUGCGUUUGUCCGAUACUUUGUAAGUUAACUAAUUUUGGCUGCAGUCUAGCCCACAUUUUCCUGUUUGCAUUGACAACGCAUUGUUGAAUUAUUGGAUGCCAACCUACCACCGUAAAGAAAGUCAAGCGAAAUCAGAGACCGAAUGAGCACAAGGUACACCUAGAGAGACUGAGAGACUAUUAACAUUACUAUUAUUUAUUACUAUUACUGAUACUGUUUGUUGUUUCAAAUAAAUAAACACACAUUUGAUUG
This 1382-nucleotide long non-coding RNA is filed under the name Danio rerio (zebrafish). Its description in RNAcentral is "cadherin 8 (ENSDARG00000098435.2)". Lineage: Eukaryota; Metazoa; Chordata; Actinopteri; Cypriniformes; Danionidae. The record is from RNAcentral.